Long non-coding RNA from Bos indicus x Bos taurus (hybrid cattle), 991 nucleotides. The record is from Ensembl. NCBI's taxonomy places the organism in Eukaryota, Metazoa, Chordata, Mammalia, Artiodactyla, Bovidae.
UGGCAAAGAGUCGGACACGACUGAGUGACUGAACAACAACAACAACUGCUCUGAGCAGCUGACAUCCACUAAGAAGGAACUACAUGCCAAGCAUCGUGCUAAACUCUGCAAAUAUAUCUUCUCAUUUAAUGAGAAAAUGCCAGUGAGCUAGGUGCCUUAGUAACCUUUUCACAGAGGGAAACCAAGCUUUAGUGAGGCUGUUAUCCAUCCAUACAGUUAUUAAAUAAAGAAGACAGAUGUCAAUCCUUGACUCUGACUCCAGAGUCCUAUUCUAACCUAUUACUAUCCAACAUAAAAUAAUGUGAGCCAUAUAUACCAUUUUAAAUUUGCUAGGAGCUAUAUAUAUUUAUUUUAAAGUUAAAAAGAAGCAGGAGAAAUUAAUUUCAAUAAUAUAUUUUCUUUAAUCCAAUUUAUCCAAAAUAUUAUCAUUUCAACAUAGUCAGUAUAGAAGUUCUUAAUGAGAUAUUUUGUAAUCUUUUGCUUUUUUCAUACCGAGGCUGUGACAUUCAGUUUAUAUUUUGCACUUGCAGCCCAUCUUAAUUUGGAGCAGCCGUAUUGCAAGUGCUCGGCGGCCACAUAUGGUCCAUGACCACUGCACUGAGCCGUGUGCCCUCACCCGCGGGCCAUCAUGCCUGAGUCUUUGAAGACCGUGUCAUCCGGGUUUACCGGACUGUAUUUAUUGAGGAAGAAGAUUUUCCUUUUUUCAACAAAGGCGAUGCCACCAUAUGGAUCGAAUUCCGUCUUCAAAUGGAAAGAGAUAUUUUCAAACAUCCUUGAAUUGAGCAUGCAGAAUGAGGGCGGCAUGAUGCUUACAUACCCACUAAUCUCUGUUAUGACAUGUCUGCAUGACGGAGAGGAUCAUACUCCUGGGUUGAGGAAAGGAGGGCUGUCCACAGAUGACACAAUCAAGAGAUGCAGUGGCCCACAGAGAAUGCAAACGGACAAAAAGACUCACCAUGCCAGCUGCCUUUUAAAAGAAAAUGCCAAUUAA